GCCUGCGGUAUUAACCGCGAUGGUUUCUUUCCGGCCUGAACAGUUUUACAACCCCAAGGGCUUCUUUCUUUACGCCGCAUUGCUGGAUCAAGGUUGCCCCCAUUGUCCAAAAUUCCCCACUGCUGCCUCCCGUAAG
This 136-nucleotide ribosomal RNA is filed under the name uncultured bacterium. RNAcentral's name for it is "partial 16S ribosomal RNA". The record is from RNAcentral.